Molecule: ribosomal RNA, 1422 nt
Filed under: uncultured organism
Description: SSU rRNA
Rfam family: Bacterial small subunit ribosomal RNA
Source: RNAcentral
CUAGCGACAGGCUUAACACAUGCAAGUCGAGGGGCAGCACAGGUAGCAAUACCGGGUGGCGACCAGCGCACGGGUGAGUAACGCGUAUGCAACUUACCUAUCAGAGGGGGAUAACCCGGCGAAAGUCGGACUAAUACCGCAUGAAGCAGGGGCCCCGCAUGGGGAUAUUUGCUAAAGAUUCAUCGCUGAUAGAUAGGCAUGCGUUCCAUUAGGCAGUUGGCGGGGUAACGGCCCACCAAACCGACGAUGGAUAGGGGUUCUGAGAGGAAGGUCCCCCACAUUGGUACUGAGACACGGACCAAACUCCUACGGGAGGCAGCAGUGAGGAAUAUUGGUCAAUGGCCGAGAGGCUGAACCAGCCAAGUCGCGUGAGGGAUGAAGGUUCUAUGGAUCGUAAACCUCUUUUAUAAGGGAAUAAAGUGCGGGACGUGUCCCGUUUUGUAUGUACCUUAUGAAUAAGGAUCGGCUAACUCCGUGCCAGCAGCCGCGGUAAUACGGAGGAUCCGAGCGUUAUCCGGAUUUAUUGGGUUUAACGGGUGCGUAGGCGGCCUUUUAAGUCACCGGUGAAAGUCUGUGGCUCAACCCUACAAUUGCCGUUGAAACUGGGAGUCUUGAGUAUGUUUGAGGCAGGCCGAAUGCGUGGUGUAGCGCUGAACUGCAUAGACAUCACGCAGAACCCCGAUUUGGGAAGGCAGCCUGCCAAGCCAUUACUGACGCUGAUGCACGAAAGCGUGGGGAUCAAACAGGAUUAGAUACCCUGGUAGUCCACGCAGUAAACGAUGAUCACUAGCUGUUUGCGAUACACUGUAAGCGGCACAGCGAAAGCGUUAAGUGAUCCACCUGGGGAGUACGCCGGCAACGGUGAAACUCAAAGGAAUUGACGGGGGCCCGCACAAGCGGAGGAACAUGUGGUUUAAUUCGAUGAUACGCGAGGAACCUUACCCGGGUUUGAACGCAUUCGGACCGAGGUGGAAACACCUUUUCUAGCAAUAGCCGUUUGCGAGGUGCUGCAUGGUUGUCGUCAGCUCGUGCCGUGAGGUGUCGGCUUAAGUGCCAUAACGAGCGCAACCCUUGCCACUAGUUACUAACAGGUAAAGCUGAGGACUCUGGUGGGACUGCCAGCGUAAGCUGCGAGGAAGGCGGGGAUGACGUCAAAUCAGCACGGCCCUUACAUCCGGGGCGACACACGUGUUACAAUGGCGUGGACAAAGGGAAGCCACCUGGCGACAGGGAGCGAAUCCCCAAACCACGUCUCAGUUCGGAUCGGAGUCUGCAACCCGACUCCGUGAAGCUGGAUUCGCUAGUAAUCGCGCAUCAGCCAUGGCGCGGUGAAUACGUUCCCGGGCCUUGUACACACCGCCCGUCAAGCCAUGGGAGCCGGGGGUACAUGAAGUCCGUAACCGCGAGGAUCGGCCUAGGGUA